RNAcentral lists this ribosomal RNA (563 nucleotides) under uncultured Alphaproteobacteria bacterium. RNAcentral's name for it is "bacterial SSU rRNA". It matches the Rfam family "Bacterial small subunit ribosomal RNA", at positions 1 to 547 of the family's 1533-position model. The record is from RNAcentral. Lineage: Bacteria; Pseudomonadati; Pseudomonadota; Alphaproteobacteria.
GGGAGCUCUCCCAUAUGGUCGACCUGCAGGCGGCCGCGAAUUCACUAGUGAUUAGAGUUUGAUCAUGGCUCAGAACGAACGCUUUCGGUAUGCUUAACACAUGCAAGUCGAACGGAUUUAUUUAGAGCUUGCUUUAAAUAAAUUAGUGGCAGACGGGUGAGUAACACGUGGGAAUCUGCCCAUCAGUACGGAAUAACAUUUAGAAAUAAUUGCUAAUACCGUAUAUUCUCUUUGGAGGAAAGAUUUAUCGCUGAUGGAUGAGCCCGCGCCAGAUUAGGUAGUUGGUAGGGUAAUGGCCUACCAAGCCAAUGAUCUGUAGCUGGUUUGAGAGAAUGAUCAGCCACACUGGGACUGAGACACGGCCCAGACUCCUACGGGAGGCAGCAGUGGGGAAUAUUGGACAAUGGGCGAAAGCCUGAUCCAGCAAUACCGAGUGGGUGAUGAAGGCCUUAGGGUUGUAAAGCCCUUUUCAGCAGGGAAGAUAAUGACGGUACCUGACCAAGAAAGCCCCGGCUAACUCCGUGCCAGCAGCCGCGGUAAUACGAAUCGAAUUCCCGCGGCCG